AGCAGCCGCGGUAAUUCCAGCUCCAAUAGCGUACAUUAAAGUUGUUGCAGUUAAAAAGCUUGUAGUUGAAUUUCGAGACCGGCUUACUGGUCGUGCUAUUGUACGUACUGGUAUAAUCGGUUUCUCCUUUCUGACGAACUAUAAUGCCAUUAAUUUGGUGUUUUAGGGAAUCAGGACUGUUACUUUGAAAAAAUUAGAGUGUUUAAAGCAGGCUCACGCUUGAAUACAUUAGCAUGGAAUAACGGAAUAGGACGUUUGAUCCUAUUUUGUUGGUUUCUAGGAUCGACGUAAUGAUUAAUAGGGAUAGUUGGGGGCAUUAGUAUUCAAUUGUCAGAGGUGAAAUUCUUGGAUUUAUUGAAGACUAACUACUGCGAAAGCAUUUGCCAAGGAUGUUUUCAUUAAUCAAGAACGAAAGUUAGGGGAUCGAAGACGAUCAGAUACCGUCGUAGUCUUAACCAUAAACUAUGCCGACUAGGGAUCGGAUGAUGUUAAUUUUUAAUGACUCAUUCGGCGCCUUACG
This 520-nucleotide ribosomal RNA is filed under the name uncultured Glomus. RNAcentral describes it as "SSU rRNA". It matches the Rfam family "Eukaryotic small subunit ribosomal RNA", at positions 569 to 1092 of the family's 1831-position model. Lineage: Eukaryota; Fungi; Glomeromycota; Glomeromycetes; Glomerales; Glomeraceae. The record is from RNAcentral.